CUGCCCUGGACAACACCAACAUCGGGAAGGUGGCCAACUACAUCAAGGAGCAGUCCGUGUCGAACUUCCAGGCUGUGGUCAUCUCGCUGAAGGAAGAAUUCUACACAAAGGCUGACGCUCUGAUCGGAGUUUACCCUGAGCAAGGCGACUGUGUCAUCAGCAAAGUGCUGACCUUCGACCUGACCAGCUUCCCGGAGGCCGGGCCCUCUCCCAACGAGUGACGGGACGGGACGGGACGGGACGGGGGAGGGGGAGGGGGAGCGUGUCGACAUCUCCCCCCCUCCUCCAACUGCGGCCCGCUAACGGCAUCGCAUUCUCACUCCCUGUU
Molecule: long non-coding RNA, 328 nt
Organism: Leucoraja erinaceus (little skate)
Lineage: Eukaryota; Metazoa; Chordata; Chondrichthyes; Rajiformes; Rajidae
Exons: 3
Source: RefSeq, a predicted model, not a curated record